UACCAGCACCCCGAGUGGUCGGGACGUUUAUUGGGCCUAAAGCAUCCGUAGCCGGUUCUACAAGUCUUCCGUUAAAUCCAGCUGCUUAACAGAUGGGCUGCGGAAGAUACUAUGGAGCUAGGAGGCGGGAGAGGCAAGCGGUACUCGAUGGGUAGGGGUAAAAUCCGUUGAUCCAUUGAAGACCACCAAUGGCGAAGGCAGCUCGCUGGGACGUGACUGACGCUGAGGAGCGAAAGUGUGGGGAGCGAACAGG
This 253-nucleotide ribosomal RNA is filed under the name uncultured bacterium. Its description in RNAcentral is "partial 16S ribosomal RNA". It matches the Rfam family "Archaeal small subunit ribosomal RNA", at positions 474 to 727 of the family's 1478-position model. The record is from RNAcentral.